GACGAACGCUGGCGGCGUGCUUAACACAUGCAAGUGGAGCGACGGAACCAGGCUUCGGCCUGGGGCAAAGCCGCGAACGGGUGAGUAACACGUGGGUAACGUGCCCCAAUGACCGGGACAGCCCGAGGAAACUCGAGCUAAUACCGGAUGUGCUGCAGAGUCGUAAGUCUCUGCAACAAAGGAGCUUCGGCUCCGCAUUGGGAGCGGCCCGNGGCCCAUUAGCUUGUUGGUGAGGUAACGGCUCACCAAGGCUGCGAUGGGUAGCUGGUCUGAGAGGACGAUCAGCCACACUGGGACUGAGACACGGCCCAGACUCCGUACGGGAGGCAGCAAGUGGGGAAUCUUGCGCAAUGCG
RNAcentral lists this ribosomal RNA (355 nucleotides) under uncultured bacterium. RNAcentral's name for it is "bacterial SSU rRNA". It matches the Rfam family "Bacterial small subunit ribosomal RNA", at positions 28 to 375 of the family's 1533-position model. The record is from RNAcentral.